Non-coding RNA from Macaca mulatta (Rhesus monkey), 2098 nucleotides. The record is from RefSeq and is a predicted model, not a curated record. Lineage: Eukaryota; Metazoa; Chordata; Mammalia; Primates; Cercopithecidae.
CAUGCGCGGAUGUCUGGCCACAGGUGGCCUGGCAGGCUGUAACCGGCCGCUGAGCGGGCCUUUUUGUGUCCCGAGGCUUGGGCCUGGCAGCCUAGUCCGUAAGCUAAGAAGAGGAGCUUUACGACUUGGCCUGGCGCAGCAAAGGCCAGACUCAGAGCCAGCAGGCGCUGGGCACCAAGCGGCCGGCGCCUGGCGGGCACGAUCGCACGGUCGCUCGGAAGCUCCUCAAUGGCCAGCGCCAACUACAGCCCAGUCAGCAGCCCCGCACUCGCCUCUUCUGAGCUUGGGUACCUGCGCCCCACAACACCUCCCCAGCCAGGGCCCGGAGACCCCGGGGAUCGUCUCCCGCUACCUGGCGCCGCUCAUCCUGGGCAGGGCAAAUCUGGAUUGGGAAAGUCGACAUUAAUCAACUCAUUAUUCCCCACAGAUUUGUAUUCUCCAGAGUAUCCAGGUCCUUCUCAUAGAAUUAGAAAGACUGUACAGCUGGAAGCCUGUUAUCGAUUACAUUGCUAGUAAAUCUGAGGACUACCUAAAUGCAGGAUCACGAGUGGACAGACGUUAGAUGCCUGAUAACGGUGCAGUGUUGUUUAUACUUCAUUGCUCCUUCAGAACAUGGACCAUUGCAUAACUGAAGACUCCCACCUUCAGUCAGGAUUGGGUAGUACGUGUUUGUAACUACUUGGUGUUGCCUUUUGUUGAGACUUAAACCAUUGGAUAUUGAGUUUAUGAAGCACUUGCAUGAAAAAGUGAGUAUCAUUCCAUUUAAUGCCAAAGCAGACACUCACACCAGAGGAAUGCCAACAGUUUACAAAACAGAUAAUAAAAGAAAUCCAAGAACAUAAAAUUAAAAUAUAUGAAUUUCCAGAAACAGAUGAUGAAGAAGAAAAUAAACGUGUUAAAAAGAUAAAGCUCCAGCGGCACCAUGAGCAACUGAAAAAUAAUUUGGAAGCACAGCACAAAGAAUUAGAGGAAAAAUGUCAUCACUUUGAGGAUGAGAAAGCAAACUGGGAAGCUCAACAAUGUAUUUUAGAGCAACAGAACUCUUCGAGAACAAGAAGAAAGGGAAGAUCUUUUAAACUCUCUAUUGACCACCAGUUAUGUAUUAGUUGCUAAUAUGCCAGCUUGGACAUCAGUGUUUGUUGCAUCCGUUUGACCAGUUUGCACCAGUUUUAUCCAUAAUGAUGGAUUUAACAGCAUGACAAAAAUUAUUUUUGUUGUUGUUCUUCUUGAUGGAGAUUAAGAUGCCUUGAAUUGUCUAGGGUGUUGUGUACUUACAAACUAACAGCUCUAAGUACCUUUCCUACAUUUUCUUUUUCUUUUUUUUAUUAAACAGGUAUCUUCAGUUUAAUGCAAGAGAACAUUUUACUGUUGUACAAUCAUGUUCUGGUGAUUUGAUAGUUUAUAUGAGAUUCCAAAAUAAAAAGACUCUGGAAGAUUUUCAUUGAGGAUAAGCUGCCAUAAUAUGAUGCAAACUGUGCUUCUCUAUGAUGAUUAUAAUACAGAGGUUCCAUUCAAUGCAGCAUAUACAUAAUGUAAUUUAGUCUGACACAGUUGACCCUAUUUUUUGACACUUCCGUUGUUUAAAAAUACACAUGGGAAAAAACCCUAUGUGCUUACAGUGCACCUGGAGCUUUUUUAUAACAACCUCCUUUUGUUUGUUUAUUUUGGAUUCUUUAAAUAUAUAUUAUUCUCAUUUAGUGCCCUGUUUAGCCAGAAUCUCAUUACUGCUUCAUUUUUGUAAUAACAUUUAAUUUAGAUAUUUUCCAUAUAUUGACCCUGCUAAAAUAGAAUAUAACAUCUUUCAUGUGGUAGGAACCAACAGGGAAACUUUCCUUUAACUCCCUUUUUACACUUUAUGAUAAGUAGCAGGGGGAAAAUGCAUUUAUAGAUCAUUUCUAAGCAAAAUUGUGAAGCUAAUAACCUACCUGUUUCUACCUAUAUGCAGUCUCUUUAUUUUACUAGAAAUGGGAAUCAUGGCCUCUUGAAGAGAAAAAAAGUCACCAUUCUGCGUUUAGCUGUAUUCAUAUAUUGCAUUUCUGUAUUUUUUGUUUGUAUUGUAAAAAACUCACAUAAAAAACCAUGUUGUGGGGCAGAGCAA